UAAAGAGGGGGCAAGCGUUGUUCGGAAUUACUGGGCGUAAAGGGCGCGUAGGCGGCCUUCUAAGUCGAACGUGAAAUCCCCGGGCUCAACCCGGGAACUGCGUCCGAUACUGGAAGGCUUGAAUCCGGGAGAGGGAUGUGGAAUUCCAGGUGUAGCGGUGAAAUGCGUAGAUAUCUGGAGGAACACCGGUGGCGAAGGCGACAUCCUGGACCGGUAUUGACGCUGAGGCGCGAAAGCCAGGGGAGCAAACGGG
This 253-nucleotide ribosomal RNA is filed under the name uncultured bacterium. Its description in RNAcentral is "partial 16S ribosomal RNA". It matches the Rfam family "Bacterial small subunit ribosomal RNA", at positions 524 to 776 of the family's 1533-position model. The record is from RNAcentral.